RNAcentral lists this unclassified non-coding RNA (222 nucleotides) under Hevea brasiliensis (rubber tree). The record is from RNAcentral. Lineage: Eukaryota; Viridiplantae; Streptophyta; Magnoliopsida; Malpighiales; Euphorbiaceae.
UAGCUGCAGGGUUUUGCCCCAAGGUACAUUCCUAGUGUGGUUGUUUGGAAGGGUCUGCUGCAUGCUUACAAUGUGUUUGAUUUUUGGCGCACAUGAAUAUCGCCCUUUCCUUAGUUGAUAGGCAGACAGUGCACUUUCCCCUUGAACCGUCAUGAAAGAGGCAAAGUCUCCCUUUCUCUCUUUCAAACUCCAUUAUGCAGGGAAUGAUGGAAAACGAUAAGA